GGAGUUAGCCGAUGCUUAUUCCUCAGGUACCGUCAAAAUUCUUCCCUGAGAAAAGAGGUUUACAAUCCAAGAACCUUCCUCCCUCACGCGGUAUUGCUCCGUCAGGCUUUCGCCCAUUGCGGAAAAAUUCCCC
Molecule: ribosomal RNA, 133 nt
Filed under: uncultured bacterium
Lineage: Bacteria
Description: partial 16S ribosomal RNA
Source: RNAcentral